RNAcentral lists this ribosomal RNA (724 nucleotides) under uncultured bacterium. RNAcentral's name for it is "bacterial SSU rRNA". It matches the Rfam family "Bacterial small subunit ribosomal RNA", at positions 129 to 865 of the family's 1533-position model. The record is from RNAcentral.
CCCUGUACUGGGGGAUAACACCGAGAAAUCGGUGCUAAUACCGCAUAACAUACAUUGGUCGCAUGGCCGAUGUAUCAAAGGAGAAAUCCGGUAUAGGAGGGGCCCGCGCCUGAUUAGCUAGUUGGUGAGGUAAUGGCUCACCAAGGCGACGAUCAGUAGCCGACCUGAGAGGGUGAUCGGCCACACUGGAACUGAGACACGGUCCAGACUCCUACGGGAGGCAGCAGUGGGGAAUAUUGCGCAAUGGGGGAAACCCUGACGCAGCAACGCCGCGUGGAGGAUGAAGGUAUUCGUAUUGUAAACUCCUGUCUUUGGGGACGAAAAAAAUGACGGUACCCAAGGAGGAAGCCACGGCUAACUACGUGCCAGCAGCCGCGGUAAUACGUAGGUGGCAAGCGUUGUCCGGAAUUAUUGGGCGUAAAGGGCGCGUAGGCGGCCUUCUAAGUCAGAUGUGAAAUCCCUGGGCUUAACCCGGGUCGUGCAUUUGAAACUGGAAGGCUUGAGUGCAGGAGAGGAAAGUGGAAUUCCUAGUGUAGCGGUGAAAUGCGUAGAUAUUAGGAGGAACACCAGUGGCGAAGGCGACUUUCUGGACUGUAACUGACGCUGAGGCGCGAAAGCGUGGGGAGCAAACAGGAUUAGAUACCCUGGUAGUCCACGCUGUAAACGAUGGAUACUAGGUGUGGGAGGUAUCGACCCCUUCCGUGCCGCAGUUAACGCAAUAAGU